CAAAGUGUAGCUAAGUUAGAAAAGCAUCUCCCUUACACUGAGAAGUCACCCGUGCAAAUCGGAUCACUUUGA
Molecule: transfer RNA, 72 nt
Filed under: Osphronemus goramy (giant gourami)
Lineage: Eukaryota; Metazoa; Chordata; Actinopteri; Anabantiformes; Osphronemidae
Description: tRNA-Val
Rfam family: tRNA
About the family: Transfer RNA (tRNA) molecules are approximately 80 nucleotides in length.
Source: RNAcentral